CAUGAAAGCCACCUAAUGAAGGCCGGUUGCCCUGCCAACCACGUCGCGUUCUGCUUAGGAGGAACCAAUCAGGAUGUGAGUUCCCUCUAGGCGUCGGCCUGUCAUUUGUGAGGUGGGAGUCUGGGCACUGGCUCACAAAGCCCUGCCCCCCCCAACUACCCCAUCCCACCUUUCAUUUAUUGGUAGCUGGUAGCAACUAUUUUAGUGUGAAUUAUAAAUAUGAAUUCUUAUGAAAUUUCUGUAUCCUAACGUACCUCAUGUACAACCUGACUUUCAAAGACCCUCAUACCUCACGGCCUCUGAGUUUUCUGGGAACUACACAGAAUGCAAUUUCUGCAGAUGAAAUUUCACUCUUCUUGGCCAGGCUGGAGAGCAAUGGCGCAAUCUCGACUGAGUGCAACCUCCACCUCCUGGGUUCAAACAAUUCUCCUGCCUCAGCCUCCCGAGGAGCUGAGAUUACAGGCAAGCAACACCAUACUCAGCUAAUUUUGGGUUUUUAGUAGAGACAGGGUUUUUCCAUGUUGGUCAGGAUGGUCUUGAACUCCGGAUCUCAGGUGAUCCGCCCACCUAGGCCUCCCAAAGUGCUGGGAUUACAGGCCUGAGCCACUGCACCUGGCCCAUUUCUACUUUUAACUAGCACUUACCCAGUAAAUAUAUUGUGAAUUGCGUCCUGACUAUGGUGAUUUAUUUAAACUUACUGAUCCUUUGUUUGAUUAUCUCAAAAAUAUUUAUAAUACCAAUUUUAUAUACUUGUUAAAAAUUAAAGAAAUAUAAUCCUUCUCCAUAUAUUGAACAAUCACAAAAUUAAAGACAUCGUGUACAGAUUUUUACUUACCUUAUUGAAGUCACAUAACAACUUUAUCUUUAAAUUACAAGCAUCAUUCCCAGAUUUAUACACACUUACCUUAUGCAGUCCUCAUAACAAUCCCACCUUUUACAGAUGAGCAAGCCGAGGCUCAGAGGAGUUAAAAGCACAUUGACCAUCAUGUCAUAAUGAGUGAUGGAACUGGGAUUCAAAUCCAGUCCUCCCUGCCUCAAAGGUGGUGCAACUUUACAAAGACCAAGUUACACCCAGCACGUGUAGGAUCAAAACAUGCAGAUUCCCUUUCUCUACCCUCUUACGUGUGAAUUUCAAUGGUUUUCACGGCCUCAGAACAAUCCUAAACUCUCUCCCAGGUUGCCUUUCAGUGGAUCACUUCUCUUUGGGGAUGAUUAGGAAUCUGCAUUUUUGGACCACAAGCAUCUAUAAAAAGUUGUGUUGAUCAUGAAAUAAAAAUUUCUACGCCAUAAGUUACUAACUGUGAAUUGUUUAGUUUCUCUUCUACAAAUAAUAGGCUAUUCUAUGUUAAUAAAUCACAGGAUCCACUGGAUUUUGAAAGAUUUGAAACGGUGCUGCAGGAGCAUCUGAAACACAGAGCAGGAGCCCCUCCAAAGCCCAGGUGUGGUGGUUCUUGCUUGUUAGCCCAGCAACGUGGGAGGCCAAGGUGGGUUAAUCACUUGAGACCAGGAGUUUGAGAACAGCCUGGGCAACACGGUGAGACCCUGUCUCUAUAAAAAAAAACCAUUUUUCAUGAGUAGAAACAAGAAGAGAACCUCUGACAUUACUUUAGUAUAGAGCUCCGGUCUAGAAUUGAACAUGUGAAAUUGUGAGUCCUAGAGCCAGUCCUCUUGCUCGGGGCCUGGGUCUAGUAAAGCGAACUAGGAGCAGGAGGGUGGAGCCCCAGGCUGUGGCUGUCUCCG
RNAcentral lists this long non-coding RNA (1740 nucleotides) under Callithrix jacchus (white-tufted-ear marmoset). RNAcentral describes it as "lncRNA (ENSCJAG00000072607.1)". The record is from RNAcentral. Lineage: Eukaryota; Metazoa; Chordata; Mammalia; Primates; Cebidae.